Molecule: ribosomal RNA, 406 nt
Filed under: uncultured bacterium
Lineage: Bacteria
Description: partial 16S ribosomal RNA
Rfam family: Bacterial small subunit ribosomal RNA
Source: RNAcentral
AUUGAACGCUGGCGGCAGGCUUAACACAUGCAAGUCGAACGAGUGGCGGACGGGUGAGUAAUGACUGGGAAACUGCCCGAUGGAGGGGGAUAACUACUGGAAACGGUAGCUAAUACCGCAUACCAUCGGAUGGGCCCAGAUGGGAUUAGCUAGUAGGUGGGGUAACGGCUACCCUAGUGGGCGAACCCUAGCUGGUAUGAGAGGCUGACCAGCCACCCUGGAACUGGGACACGGUCCAGACGCCUACGGGAGGGAGCAAGUGGGAAUAGUGCACAGUGGGCGCAAGCCUGAUGCAGUCAUGCCGCCUGUAUGGAUAAGGCCUUCGGGUUGUAAUGUCCUUUCAGCGGUUAUGCGUUACUGGCAGAAGAAGCACCGGCUAACUCCGUGCCAGCCGCCGCGGUAAUUC